RNAcentral lists this ribosomal RNA (1435 nucleotides) under uncultured marine bacterium. RNAcentral's name for it is "bacterial SSU rRNA". It matches the Rfam family "Bacterial small subunit ribosomal RNA". The record is from RNAcentral.
GAGUUUGAUCAUGGCUCAGAACGUACGCUGGCGGCACGCCUAACACAUGCAAGUCGAACGAAGUAGCAAUACUUAGUGGCAGACGGGUGAGUAACAUGUAGGUAUCUACCCUUUGGCCUGGAAUAACACGAGGAAACUUGUGCUAAUACCGGAUAAGUCUUUACAGAGAAAGCUUUAUGCACCAUUGGAUGAGCCUGCACUUGAUUAGUUUGUUGGUAGGGUAAUGGCCUACCAAGACUGUGAUCAAUAGCUGAUUUGAGAGGAUGAUCAGCCACAUUGGGACUGAGACACGGCCCAAACUCCUACGGGAGGCAGCAGUGGGGAAUCUUGCACAAUGGAGGAAACUCUGAUGCAGCGAUGCCGCGUGAGUGAAGAAGGCCCUUGGGUUGUAAAGCUCUUUCGUCGGGGAAGAAAAUGACUGUACCCGAAUAAGAAGGUCCGGCUAACUUCGUGCCAGCAGCCGCGGUAAUACGAAGGGACCUAGCGUAGUUCGGAAUUACUGGGCUUAAAGAGUUCGUAGGUGGUUGAAAAAGUUGGUGGUGAAAUCCCAGAGCUUAACUCUGGAACUGCCAUCAAAACUUUUCAGCUAGAGUUUGAUAGAGGAAAGCAGAAUUUCUAGUGUAGAGGUGAAAUUCGUAGAUAUUAGAAAGAAUACCAAUUGCGAAGGCAGCUUUCUGGAUCAUUACUGACACUGAGGAACGAAAGCAUGGGUAGCGAAGAGGAUUAGAUACCCUCGUAGUCCAUGCCGUAAACGAUGUGUGUUAGACGUUGGAAAUUUAUUUUCAGUGUCGCAGCGAAAGCGAUAAACACACCGCCUGGGGAGUACGACCGCAAGGUUAAAACUCAAAUGAAUUGACGGGGACCCGCACAAGUAGUGGAGCAUGUGGUUUAAUUCGAAGAUACGCGCAGAACCUUACCAACACUUGACAUGUUCGUCGCGACUCUAAGAGAUUAGAGUUUUCGGUUCGGCCGGACGAAACACAGGUGCUGCAUGGCUGUCGUCAGCUCGUGUCGUGAGAUGUUGGGUUAAGUCCCGCAACGAGCGCAACCCUCACUUUUAGUUGCCAUCAUUAAGUUGGGCACUCUGAAAGAACUGCCAGUGAUAAGCUGGAGGAAGGUGGGGAUGACGUCAAGUCCUCAUGGCCCUUACGUGUUGGGCUACACACGUGCUACAAUGGUAUCUACAACAGGAAGCAAAGCAGCGAUGUUAAGCAAAUCCUUAAAAGAUACCUCAGUUCGGAUUGCACUCUGCAACUCGAGUGCAUGAAGCUGGAAUUACUAGUAAUCGUGGAUCAGCGUGCCACGGUGAAUGCGUUCCCGGGUCUUGUACACACCGCCCGUCACACCAUGGGAGUUGGUUCUACCUUAAGGCAAGGUUUUAAACCCUUGACCACGGUAUAGUCAGCGACUGGGGUGAAGUCGUAACAAGGUAACC